AAAUGAAUAAACUAAUUAGAUUAAUUAAAAUAUGUGAUGUGAACCUUUCGCGGGGCCUCAAUUCUCUCCCUAACGGGUUACAACUAAUGGAAUGGCACCAAUAUUCUUGGCGGAACAUACCGGAGAGUUUUUAACCAAUCAAUCUUGUUGAACUCAUUAUGCAUCGCAGCAGCUUUCUGCAAUUACCAGCGGCUUUUCCUAAUUUAAAAAAAUUGAAA
Molecule: long non-coding RNA, 218 nt
Organism: Juglans microcarpa x Juglans regia
Lineage: Eukaryota; Viridiplantae; Streptophyta; Magnoliopsida; Fagales; Juglandaceae
Exons: 3
Source: RefSeq, a predicted model, not a curated record